UACGUAUGGAGCAAGCGUUAUCCGGAUUUACUGGGCGUAAAGGGUGCGUAGGCGGUCGGAUAAGUUAGAGGUGAAAUCCCGAGGCUCAACUUCGGAAUUGCCUCUGAUACUGUUCGGCUAGAGAGUAGUUGCGGUAGGCGGAAUGUAUGGUGUAGCGGUGAAAUGCUUAGAGAUCAUACAGAACACCGAUUGCGAAGGCAGCGUACCGGCUCCACACUGACGCUGAGGCACGAAAGCGUGGGUAUCGAACAGG
This 253-nucleotide ribosomal RNA is filed under the name uncultured Rikenellaceae bacterium. RNAcentral describes it as "partial 16S ribosomal RNA". It matches the Rfam family "Bacterial small subunit ribosomal RNA", at positions 524 to 776 of the family's 1533-position model. The record is from RNAcentral. Lineage: Bacteria; Pseudomonadati; Bacteroidota; Bacteroidia; Bacteroidales; Rikenellaceae.